Molecule: unclassified non-coding RNA, 129 nt
Filed under: uncultured Ascomycota
Lineage: Eukaryota; Fungi; Ascomycota
Description: sequence contains ITS2
Source: RNAcentral
UUGCGUUGUAAGGCCCAGCCUUGCGUUGAUAAUUCCUUUGCCAGGAAUUAUCCAAACCCAUCGGCGACGUCAGCGCCCGCAUCGCAACACACUGCGACCGCAGCGCGGGGCGUCGCCCAAAACCGUCAU